AUGGUGGGCGCGCACUGCCAGUUGACAGGACCGCAGAGAUCACCACACUUGGCCUGUCUAUUGUACAUUGGAUGCUGGGAGCCCACUGGGGACACUCAAGAACAAGAGUGGAGACCCCAAAGGGCUGUGACCUCAUUCCCACACCCAGUGCAGCUACCCUCACUUGCAGGAAGCAGAGAGCUGUCAGGCCACUGCGACAGGUCCCACCAACCAGCCCGAGAGAGGGAGGCUUGUCUACAGUCUUCUCACACCCUGGGUACAUGUCCAACCACCUUUUGCAGCCUGCCCUCCCUUUUGCCCAGGCUGGGCCUCUUCCUUGGAGCAGCCCCACGCACCCCCUAUCUUGGCUUUGGAGAUCUCAUGCUGAGCUCAACGAAUUCUCACGAGGCACUGGCCUCCCAUAAGGCCCCUUGGCUCGCAUUUUCUAGGAUCUUUUUUCAGGGAUGUGAGCACCCACUGAGGUGCCACACGGUUACUUCACCUGGAGGGCCUGCUAGAUGCCAGGGGGUGGGGGGUGGGGGGACAGGCCCAGGUCGAGUGGGGAAUCUGGGUUUACUUACAACACCCCCCAGUGAUAGUGACGGCGUUCCAGGUCUGGGGACCUCUGGUCUCACCUGCCCUGAAAGGAGGAGCACCUGCACAGGAGCCCGGAUACCACCGGCCAGGCCCUGGAACUGCUGGACGCUCAGCUGGGCUUGGGCCAGAGGCUGUGCUUACGUCCAGCUGUUGCAGCCGAGACUCCUUCCCAAGCACUCAGCAUCUUCAGCAGGCCGCAGCGGUGGACAGCGAUGCGCCCCCCCCCCCCCCCCCCCCCCGCCGAGCCCAGGCUGCAGGAUGCGCGGCCCCCGCCCUCCCCCCAGAGCACUGCAACCACCGGGGCUCCUUCCCAGCCACAUACCGGGGGCCCUUCUAGAGCCAGACGCCCGCUGGGGCCCCUGCUUGCCUCCUUCCUGCAGCCUUCAGGGCCCUGCCUGCCCGGUCCCCUUGCCCAUUCGCUCCGGGUCUCCGCGUCCCCGACCAUUUCUCAGAGGCUCCACGGCCGCGGGCCACCCUACACCUCGGACAGCUCCGGGCAUGCGCAGUCGCCCUCGGGCGCUCCGGCGCCCCAGGCCGCGCGGAAGUGCCGGCGGGGCGGGGCCUCCCGUGGGCUCGGGCGCACCUGCGGCUCUGCUCUGCGGGCUCGGGGGCUCGGGGCGGCAGAGAACAGCGGCUGGAAGACUUGAAGAGGUGGAUGGCGGACGACCUGACCCAGGCCUUGAAUGCCGAGUAAAGCUGGGGCAGCAGGGGGGUGGCGGUGGGCCGCAAGGGAGACCCGCCGCUGGAGCCUCCAGAGCACCCGGCUGA
This 1344-nucleotide long non-coding RNA is filed under the name Canis lupus familiaris (dog). RNAcentral describes it as "lncRNA (ENSCAFG00030023742.1)". The record is from RNAcentral. Lineage: Eukaryota; Metazoa; Chordata; Mammalia; Carnivora; Canidae.